AGAGUUUGAUUAUGGCUCAGAUUGAACGCUGGCGGCGUGCUUAACACAUGCAAGUCGCGCGUGAAAGGACUUCGGUCCGAGUAAAGCGGCGCACGGGUGAGUAACGCGUGGAUGAUCUACCCAUGAGUUAGGAAUAACGGCUGGAAACGGUCGCUAAUACCAAAUACGCUCCGAUUUCAACUUCGGGGGAAAGGUGGCCUCUGCUUGCAAGCUACUGCUCAUGGAUGAGUCCGCGUCCCAUUAGCUAGUUGGUGGGGUAACGGCCCACCAAGGCGACGAUGGGUAGCCGGUCUGAGAGGAUGACCGGCCACACUGGGACUGGAACACGGCCCAGACUCCUACGGGAGGCAGCAGUGGGGAAUAUUGCGCAAUGGGCGAAAGCCUGACGCAGCGACGCCGCGUGAAGGGAUGAAGGUCCUCGGAUCGUAAACCUCUGUCAGGAGGGAAGAACCGCCACGGUGCUAAUCAGCCGUGGUCUGACGGUACCUCCAAAGGAAGCACCGGCUAACUCCGUGCCAGCAGCCGC
Molecule: ribosomal RNA, 526 nt
Filed under: uncultured bacterium
Lineage: Bacteria
Description: bacterial SSU rRNA
Rfam family: Bacterial small subunit ribosomal RNA
Source: RNAcentral